UGGGGAAUAUUGGACAAUGGGGGCAACCCUGAUCCAGCCAUGCCGCGUGAGUGAUGAAGGCCUUCGGGUUGUAAAGCUCUUUUGGCGGGGACGAUGAUGACGGUACCCGCAGAAUAAGCCCCGGCUAACUUCGUGCCAGCAGCCGCGGUAAGACGAAGGGGGCUAGCGUUGUUCGGAAUUACUGGGCGUAAAGCGAGUGUAGGCGGUUGCCGUAGUCAGGUGUGAAAGCCUUGAGCUCAACUCAAGAAAUGCACUUGAUACUGGGUGACUAGAGGACCGGAGAGGAUAGUGGAAUUCCCAGUGUAGUGGUGAAAUACGUAGAGAUUGGGAAGAACACCAGUGGCGAAGGCGGCUAUCUGGACGGUUACUGACGCUAAGACUCGAAAGCGUGGGGAGCAAAACAGGAUUAGAUACCCUGGUAGUCCACGCCCGUAAAACGAUGGUA
Molecule: ribosomal RNA, 445 nt
Filed under: uncultured bacterium
Lineage: Bacteria
Description: partial 16S ribosomal RNA
Rfam family: Bacterial small subunit ribosomal RNA
Source: RNAcentral